Molecule: long non-coding RNA, 1002 nt
Organism: Gorilla gorilla gorilla (western lowland gorilla)
Lineage: Eukaryota; Metazoa; Chordata; Mammalia; Primates; Hominidae
Exons: 2
Source: RefSeq, a predicted model, not a curated record
CAAGAUCCACCAUUAUAAAGAGAAAAAUCACAGAAAGCUAUGAGAAAUGACCAAAGAGAAACAGAACAGUGUUUAUCUCCAUCAGGAAGCAUCUGGAACGGCUUAUUAGAGAUUCCCAGCUGCAGCACUUCAGGUAAAUAACAGAACACCUCCAAACCUUAGCAACAGGAAGGAACCCCCUAUAGCUGGGGAUGGUGGCACGCACCUGUAGUCCCAGCCACUCGGGAGGCUGAGAUGGGAGACUCGCUUGAGCCCGGGAGGUCGAGGCUGCAGUGAUCACGCCACUGCACUUAGCCUGGACAGAGAUCCCGUCUCAAAAAAAAAGAAAAGAAAAGAAAAGGAAUCCCCUAUGAUUACUUCAAGGACUGCACAUGACAAUACCUGAAAGGCAGUGGGAGCACAUAGCAAGCGUGCAAUGUCAGCCACUAUUACUAUAUAUUUAAAGCCUCUGGUAGAGAAGGCUUUAUGCGUUGGGAGCCCAAUUCAGCUCACAUUUGCUUUUACUGACAUUUGCUUUUACUGUGCUUCUUCCUCUCUCAAAAUCUCUCCCACGUUCACCCUGACCGUGCUCACUGGCUACUGCCCCAGAAACAGGCCUUGAAUUCCAAGCCUGCCCGCCCCGCCGCAGCCAGCCUGGUCCCGGGAUGCAAGGACGCAGAGUCCCGCGAGGCUGAUACCUUCACGAUGACAGCUUUGCGUCCGGAGUAGCGUCCAGCCAGGACAAGCACCACCUUCCCAGGUUUCAUGAACUUGCCCAUUUCUGCAGAGAGCAAGGAGAAAGGGCCACUUAAAAAUCCGUAAAGCCAAAGAUGCCCAGAGCUGACUCCUGCCAGCAAGCCCAGGUCUUGGGCCGGAACUUCAGACUGUGUUCACUGUCGCCUUGGUCCAGGCCGCCCGAGGGCCCUGCUCGCAGGACAGGAUCGGAUACGUAGCCGCCAGAGACCUAGGGAAGGAAUGCACCCGGCGCCGCCCGGACCUUCGACCCCCAAGCCGCGGAUGGCA